This is a long non-coding RNA of Lutra lutra (Eurasian river otter), 405 nucleotides long. RefSeq lists it as uncharacterized. The record is from RefSeq and is a predicted model, not a curated record. NCBI's taxonomy places the organism in Eukaryota, Metazoa, Chordata, Mammalia, Carnivora, Mustelidae. The transcript has 3 exons.
CUGCCAGUUCCUGUGAAGGUAGAAACCUCAAAGUUGCAGUAUUCUUUCUGCGAGUCUGUGGGAGCUGGUGAAAAGAAGGCCCUUGUUCUGGUGUGAGGAAGACUAUCUUUUCAACAGUUUAUGUAGUAAGCAGUCUUGGAAGAUACUGAUGGUGUCUCCCUCUGGACCAGAGGCAGGUUUGUGUACAGCCUUCGAAGAUAGCCAUAAAAUCUACCUCUGGAGAAAAAGGCUGGAAUAUAGACAGAUGUGGAUGAGCUUUAAUCAUGUGAAUGAAGAUUGCAUGCUGUGAUAAGAACAGACUAGAAGGAACCAGGGUCCCUGUAUGAUCUUCCAAAGCAGGGUGCCCACUCACCCUUUAUCACCUCCCUGCCUCUGGAUGUUAUAUGAAAGAGAAAUAAACUUUAA